This 785-nucleotide ribosomal RNA is filed under the name Nocardia niigatensis. RNAcentral describes it as "bacterial SSU rRNA". It matches the Rfam family "Bacterial small subunit ribosomal RNA", at positions 70 to 870 of the family's 1533-position model. Lineage: Bacteria; Bacillati; Actinomycetota; Actinomycetes; Mycobacteriales; Nocardiaceae. The record is from RNAcentral.
UAAGGCCCUUCGGGGUACACGAGCGGCGAACGGGUGAGUAACACGUGGGUGAUCUGCCUUGCACUCUGGGAUAAGCCUGGGAAACUGGGUCUAAUACCGGAUAUGAGCCUGGACUGCAUGGUCUGGGUUGGAAAGGUUUACUGGUGCGAGAUGGGCCCGCGGCCUAUCAGCUUGUUGGUGGGGUAACGGCCUACCAAGGCGACGACGGGUAGCCGACCUGAGAGGGUGACCGGCCACACUGGGACUGAGACACGGCCCAGACUCCUACGGGAGGCAGCAGUGGGGAAUAUUGCACAAUGGGCGAAAGCCUGAUGCAGCGACGCCGCGUGAGGGAUGACGGCCUUCGGGUUGUAAACCUCUUUUGACAGGGACGAAGCGCAAGUGACGGUACCUGUAGAAGAAGCACCGGCCAACUACGUGCCAGCAGCCGCGGUAAUACGUAGGGUGCGAGCGUUGUCCGGAAUUACUGGGCGUAAAGAGCUUGUAGGCGGUCUGUCACGUCGAUUGUGAAAACUUGCAGCUCAACUGCAAGCUUGCAGUCGAUACGGGCAGACUAGAGUACUUCAGGGGAGACUGGAAUUCCUGGUGUAGCGGUGAAAUGCGCAGAUAUCAGGAGGAACACCGGUGGCGAAGGCGGGUCUCUGGGAAGUAACUGACGCUGAGAAGCGAAAGCGUGGGUAGCGAACAGGAUUAGAUACCCUGGUAGUCCACGCCGUAAACGGUGGGUACUAGGUGUGGGUUUCCUUCCACGGGAUCCGUGCCGUAGCUAACGCAUUAAGUACCCC